Micropterus dolomieu (smallmouth bass) is the source of this 249-nucleotide long non-coding RNA. RefSeq lists it as uncharacterized. The record is from RefSeq and is a predicted model, not a curated record. NCBI's taxonomy places the organism in Eukaryota, Metazoa, Chordata, Actinopteri, Centrarchiformes, Centrarchidae. The transcript is spliced from 2 exons.
UUACAUUCCCUGAUAAUAUAGGAAAGGUUUAUAUUCCCUGUUAAUACUUAUGUGAGAGGUUCACAUUCCCUUCUGAUGAGUCCAAUGAGGUCUUAUUUAGGCCUACUAGUCAAACAGCAAGAAGGCCAGCUCAGCCUCACACUACAAAAGAUGGAAGAAUCAUUACAUCAAUCCACCAACAAAACAAGAAAAUGGCUCCACCUAAUGAAAGAACACACUUCAGAGAAUACAUUACUUUUUUCAAACGUG